RNAcentral lists this ribosomal RNA (371 nucleotides) under uncultured organism. RNAcentral describes it as "partial 16S ribosomal RNA". It matches the Rfam family "Bacterial small subunit ribosomal RNA", at positions 527 to 896 of the family's 1533-position model. The record is from RNAcentral.
GUAGGGUGCAAGCGUUAAUCGGAAUUACUGGGCGUAAAGCGUGCGCAGGCGGUUUUGUAAGUCUGUCGUGAAAGCCCCGGGCUCAACCUGGGAAUUGCGAUGGAGACUGCAAGGCUUGAAUCUGGCAGAGGGGGGUAGAAUUCCACGUGUAGCAGUGAAAUGCGUAGAGAUGUGGAGGAACACCGAUGGCGAAGGCAGCCCCCUGGGUCAAGAUUGACGCUCAUGCACGAAAGCGUGGGGGGAGCAAACAGGAUUAGAUACCCUGGUAGUCCACGCCCUAAACGAUGUCUACUAGUUGUCGGGUUUUAAUUAACUUGGUAACGCAGCUAACGCGUGAAGUAGACCGCCUGGGGAGUACGGUCGCAAGAUUA